UGUGUCGCACAUCCUAGGUCCUUGUCGUCGGGUUUCGUGCGUGCUCGCGUUUACCGUCGAGUCGUCGAACUCGUCAUCCUCUGCUCAAACUCCACCUCACCAGCUCGCUUCAAACACGAUCUCGUCGUCAAGCUUCGCCUUAGCCUUAUCUCGUCGGUCACGCUCGCCAGAUGUUCGAUCAAGGACUUCAGCCGAAGGAUGUCAUCGUUCAGGCAACUACCAAAUCGAGUUGUGAUGUGGUGAGCUGAUUCGCUAUUUUUACUAUCGGUUUUAUGAUCGUAAAAUAAGACGCUACGUAUGCGCAUACGAUUAAGUUAGAAAUACCAGUAAGGCGAGGUGUGCUUCGAGGAGUUUAGUUGCUGAAUAUAUUCGAACUAGUUCUAUUUUGUAUAAUAUAGUAUUUCGGUGACACGUAGGUUAAAUUUAGUAUUUUAAAAUGUCUAGACAAUAAUAUGGUUAGUAUUACUAUUGACGAAUUAUAAUUGUUUGAUAAAAUUAAAUUGGUUCUUGGGAAGCAAGGUGGUAUAAUUUAUAAAGCGGGGAUGAAUUUAGCAUUUAACCAAUUAGCUAAUGAGUUGUGUUUAGGCUGAUUAUGUUUAAUGUGUUGUUCGUGAUGUUUGCGUUAGGUUCGUUUUAAUCUAGAAAACAGUGAGUAUUGCGCUUAGUCGUACGCUGAUAACUAGUGUUUUUCGUAGAAAAUAGUACAACGUCUCGCCGCUAGGUGUUUAAUUCACCGUCGUGUAGCCUUAUUUAGGUUUGUGAUAUUCUUGUUUAUAUGCAUUCAUGUGCAUUAUGCAAAUCAUUUAGGUACGUUGAUUAACCAUGAGAUGCGGAGAACUUGAGUCAAGUCGACCCCAAGCGUGGGCUAAUCCGUAGGAUGAAGCUGAUGGACCAACCUGAAGAUGGUUAAAUCAAGCAAGUGCUCGAUCGAGGGAUACUCGUCAAGUGGUCGUCGCCUAACAACACUAACCUAGUGUUACCCAGGCAAGCCCCGGUGCAUGCAACCCCUUUCCUUGUGUUUUAAAUACCUUUCGCACACUUAAGUCUAGUGAAAUGUGCAUUAGGUUCAUAGGAGUUACUUGAAACCCUUUGAUGCAUUGCUUUCCUUGAUAUCCAUACCUUUAUAGAUACUUCUGUGAAGUAUCAAAAUAUGAUUUACAAAAAUGCUUAGCCUUGCUUAGAUCUUGUGGAUAGAGGUUGUCCUCCAUCUAACCCGGGAGAGGAUGGCUUCUACCUGCAAGUAUAUUUUCAUUUGGAGCAAUGAUGGGAUCUUACUGCAAAGUUCCCUGCGAUGCUCUUUUCAUCCUCAGGAACAGAAACAAUCCUAAGGAUGGAAGUACUUAAAUCGAGACUUGGGCUAGGAACAGGUGAUGCUCCGCCCGGGUCAAUUAAGGAUUGGAUGCGUAUGUAGGCCUGUUGAUCAAGGACUAUCUUAUCUAGCCACAUGCCCUGAGAAUGGGACAGGGUAAGCUUGAACCCGGCUAUUCCAUACAUGAAAAGACAAUCGCGCACUGGGCGUGGAGAGAUGGCGAGAGUGGCACGUACCCUCCUGGCAACGGAUCGCCUAAAAGGGGUGGUGUACUCUCGGGUGGCGCGGACCUGUUCAUGCAGUGGAGGAUCCGUGGGAAUAGUAGACAUCAAGGUUUACGAGAAACAUAUGUCGUGUGGUUAGAAAUCCUCAGCUGAGUAAAUCGAUUCGGAUCGCCGUUAUAUCCCCGGAGAGUGGAGACUUGAGCUCCGACCUACAACCUAAGUCAAGAUGUGAACACUAUGGAUAAAAAUGAUGUUGUAUUGAUGAGAUGAUGAAACUAGACUAGAUGCAAACAGAGUCUAUUAAAUAUUUAAUCUGGCGUUAAAAUAUUGAAAGUAAGGACUCACUUUAGUAAGCUAUUUCUGCAAAAGUAUCUAAGUUGAUUCUUGCUAAAGCCUCUCCUUGAUUCCCAAAUCCAGCAUAUCCUUGAGAGUCUUUUCUUUAGUCGGGUAAGUCUUGCUGAGUAAUUCCAUACUCAGGGUUUUAUUCCCUGUUGUUUUUCAGGUCAUAGUUUUGUGCUGCUGAUGAUGGUGUUAAGUGCCGGUGGGCUCGGCCUUCUUAUAAGUCUAAGUAAUCCUUCUAUACUUCUUAAUGAGGAUGGUCACUUGAACUAGCAUAUAUUUCAAAACUAUAAAUAAUUUAUAACCGUUCAAAGUUUCUUUGUUUGAAUCAAUGUAGUAAUCACUCUGAUCAUGUACGAAGUAAAAUUUUUGUAACUUGUAAAAUUUGGUAAUAAGAUUUCCGCUGCAAAAUAUUGGUGUGUGUGAUUUGUAUUACUUAAUCCCGCGGUUCUGGUUGUAAGUGGUUUAUCCGGUGUCCGUGGGGCAAUCGGACGGAUCCUGUUAAGUUAUCUGGUGCACAUGCAUGGCCGUCUGAGUUCUUUGAGACAAGGACAGGUGCAUGUGGGCCCGAUACCUUGGGAGGUUCUGCCACAGCUGGUAUCAGAGCAGGAUUAAGUAUAUACGGUCACAUACGUAUUUUCAAAACAAAAGUUUUGGUUUUAGAAAACCUAUUUUCAACUAAACACAUUGUUUGGUUUUGAAAAAAAAAUAGUUUUGAAAAACUAUAAUGCUAGCGACAUCCUCUAUUAAGCCCUAAGUUAAGGACUAUCAGGUGGCUUAGUUCAAAACCACUAACCCACAACCGGGUGGGUAUUGCAUACAUGUGUAUUGUUAUUUUUGAGGCCAUUCAGUUCUGAAUGGAUCGACGCUCAAGGUAAGGUGAGAUGUGAGAGUAUGACCGAACAACCGUCGGUCUAGGGGAGUGCUUAAUUGUGGCGCUUGAUUAUAUACAUGUUUUAAAUAUGUAUAUAUGAAGGCUGCGAUGUGGAGUAAUUACUUUUCCGGGAAUUCAGUACCCCAUGGAUGUGUAUGGGUAUACAGACAUGGGAAUACUAAGAAGUGUAAUGUACUUGCAACGACGCACCUACGCUCAGGUAAGAAGGUGAGUUACCAUAAUGAGUUGCCCUAUGGUAAAAGUGUGGCAACGGCGCCUAUGCGUGGCUCGGUGCUUAAUGAUGAGCUGGCCUCCAUAUAGAAAUAUGUGGAGUAUAAACUGUGAUAAACUGUCAUGUGUGAAUUGCAUCAUUGGGAAAUUGGGCUGUGAUGGAAUUUUCUGCAGGUACACUAACCUCGAAAACGUAUGUAUAGUUGACGACUAGCAAAAUACCGUGAGAGUCGCAAGUAUGCCACCGAUAUAGAACGCUAUCGCCACAUUAUGUUGGCAAAAUCAGUGAGGACGAAUAAGACGAGCAUGCAUCCUGAUUGUUGCAUUAUGUUUGUCACCUAUACACCCAAUGCUUCUCUCAUCCGUAUUCCAGAAACCGGUGAUUGUAGAUAAUCUGGUGUAAUGUUGAAUUAUGAACUUCGAUAAAAUAGUUGUUCUCCGUUCCUUAGGUAUUAUGUUUAGAUGCUAUAUGUGUGCUCUUGUGCUUAAUGUGUCGAUAGAAGGUUAGUGACUUGUUUGCCUAAACCCAAAUCUAGGCCAUGUUCUUAGUUGGUGAACCAUGACCAAAGUUGAUUUUUCCGUUACCCCUCCUUGAUCCAAACUUAUACAAAUAAAUGUUUAGAUAAUUUCUUCGUUGGACAAAAAGGGUACUUAAGCUUAAAAUAAGAAUCUCGACUCAUAUUUUCAUCUUAGACCAUGCCCUUAUUCGAUUGGCGCAAGCUGAUAUCCCUAAUUCCAGCUUGCCUGUUCUUGAUAAUCACAUCAUUGUUUUAUCGACCCAACCUAGGAAGGGCAUGUCUCAUCAUUUUCUUGAGUUUGAUGCCUUUGAUUUCCUCAUUUCUAUCGAAGGCAUAUCAACUUAAUCUCAUGAUUAUUUUUACUCCGCAUCUAGUCAGAUACUAAUCCUUGACCUUGUAAUCUCUAUGAUGGGCAUAGAAAUAUGCUUGGGCUGAAAUAACAGUCUCCCAUCAUACUUCUUUCAUCAAGCUUAGGUUAUGGCCAUGUCUUGUUCGAUCCAUCGGGCUGUGAUCUAUUUGGCUCUCUACUUGUAACCAUUCUUUUAAGUGGAGUCUAUUUUUGUAUAUUGUCAUCCUUGCUCAAUCCAGUUGUGUCGUGUGAGAUUUCUUAUUGGUUACGUCUAGUAAUGGUGUUAUGACUAAAACCGUUGGUGCCGUGACAAAACCGAGGGCCUUCUGUGUGUGCGCACACUCGGUUGUGCUGCUCGGCACGCGCUGGUAUCAUGGUUAGUAGUUGUAAUCCAUUAUGAGACUAUGUCAAUGUGUUAUCUUGUCACAAUCUAGAUUUACCAUGCGGGAUUCUGUGUUGGUGCUAGUUCGGUGAUGGUGUCAUGGUUAAGGACUUAUGGUGCCGCAACGAAACUGAGAGCCUCCUAUGAAUGCGCACACAAGACUGUGCUACUCGUCGAAUGCUGGUAUCAAGGUCUCUAGUCAUGAUCCAUUGUGGAACUACACUGAUGUGUGAUCUUCCAUAGAUAUCUUCCUUGAAACAAUUUCGGUGUUGUUUGUCGAAGGGAUCAAGCAACAUUUGUCAUCUUUGUUAGAUCAAAAGGGCAUACCCCUUUCAUGUGUGGUCUCUUUUCCCUUGACUUUGGUGGUGACUACACACAUACAAGUUCCCUUUACGUCCUUUGUGUAAAGGUGAAGCCUUGGAGCUUUUUAGUGUCGAGAGACAACUGAUUAGCUCUCAAAAUAGAGAUUGGAUUUCCCCUGCUGCUGAAAUGCAGGAGUUUGUUCAUUCGCUCUCUUAUUUAAUUCAUGUAUUCCCUAACCAAGUGGGUAAUGUAUCUUUCAUGGAAGAAAUGGAUGAACAACCUAACCAAAUGACCCAAAUACAUGAUCUCCUAAUAGAAAAUGUGAACUCUCAACCCUUGGCUUAUCGAUGGUACUGAGAGGACAUGUCCAAUGUCAAAAAUAGUUCAACAAGUUGGUUUUGACUAACUUGUAACUGCCCAAUGAACGAAGGUUGAGUUUAGAGAUCGUUUUAUCGAGUUGUCUAAACUCACUUUGGUUCAACCCAUCCUGAGAAAGUACUUACAAAAAUCAAGAUUAAGUCGGCCAAUAACCACCUAAUUAUCGCUCUAGUCAUGCCUCGACCGCCUCACGCGUGCUUUUCCAGCGUGUGUGAUCAUGUCGAGCCAUGCCUAGUGCUUGAUAAAAUGGAUUGGUCGCAAAGUCAACAUCAACGGAUCUUUCAUGGAUAUUUUCUCGAGUCUCUAUCAUUUUCAUGGACUUGGAUUCUUUGGCUAACACGAAUUGACUGUGAUGUUAUUCGGCAUUUACACCCGUCUCGUGUGCUAUGAACUUACCAUGAUGACUUGUUGGUAAACCUCUUUCUGUGUGUUUUACCCAAGAGGUUGCAUCUGGUUCUGUUUGGGUAAAGUCGCAUAUCUACCACUCGCUCAACAGACUCAGAUAGUAUAGUGUCAUCAAAAAAAGUAAACUGCACACAUGGAACCUUAUGUGUACUUCUGACAGACAUCGUCUCUAUUGGUGGACAUUUCUAAAUUAGCCUAAGGCGACACAUGUUAUGUCCACUAGAUGAACGACAUUUUGAGACACCUGACUUUGUUUGGAUCUGUCUCAUGAUUAUCGCUGAUAUGGACAUGAAUUACAUGCUUCUCAACUCUUAUAAGUCUUUCGUUCUGAAUCUCGGGACGAGAUUCUUUUAAGGGGGAGGGCUGUAACACCCCUGGUGUUUAUAUUCCGCUCGACAACGAGUAUGGAUUUAAGCACGAAAUAUCAGUAGAUAAAAUGGAUACUAAAUUUUAAUCAUCUUCACUUAAACGAUUUUGAUAUCGUCUUUAUCUUUGCCCAUUUGGAUUAAUCUAAAUGGUUUGCGAAAUUUGGAACGUAUUUAUCAUAUGAGCUAUCGAGAUUUGCCCCUAUUUAAAAUUAAAUCAAAUACAAUCUUUACUAGUUGGACUGGUAUCUUUUGUUUUGUUCGAUUUACAUCUCGCACAGACUUAAUCUAAGAACUAAAUCUUUUGUGUAGUCUUUUGUAACAAAAAAAAAAGAAUUGAGAAGGAAAAAUCAUUUUCUCCAACUGUUGACCGAUGGCCUUAUCCUCUCCCUCUGAUUUUACUCACACAAUUAGUUCCUACGCAGUUCCCCUUCAGCUUGAUUUUUUUCAGCCUCAUCCUUCCAUCGCUCUCUCUCUAAUAUUUUCUUUUGUCGUGCGUCCUGGUGUAGCUCGUGCUGGCUUCUCCUCGCCACGGUCUCCACCAGCUGCAUUUUUCCAACGCCUUCCCUUGGUCUGAUCCUCAACGUGCUUGGACUUUUCACCAGGGAAAAUAUCCCACAGCCAAUCUCUAUCCUCGUCGCUCGCUGUAGAUUUUUCUGCCAUGAUUUUUUUCCUGCUCGCGCGCGUCUUAUCUUCUCCAGCCGCAGUGUCCAUCUCCCCUGCGUCCAGCAGAGCUUCAGCCUUAUCUUCCACCUUGGGCGUCUGCUUCAAAUGCUCCGGCUCGGACGCCCAUCUCCUUUGCUCCCGGUGGUGGAUCUUCUGCAAUUCCCCCUACAGCUUCCUCCCCGGCCCCUUGUUUUCCCCAUGGCUGGAGCCUCUUCCAGCCGUGUGCCAGUCCCCAGCUCCUUCCCUGCGGCGCCCGCUCCCUUCUCUGCUUCCCCUGCUUGUUUCUAUGGCGCGCACCCAUAUGCUCUGCUCGCUCGUCGCCGUAGCCCCUGGUCCCAGCUCUGGCGCGCCUGCUUCCUGGCUCGCCUGCGCGUGCGUUAACUCCCUCUGCCCAGGCGCCCCCUCACUGGAUCCCCUCCAUUUAUGACCAGCGCCACUUCCUGGUCCAAGCUCCCUGGUUCUUUUCCCUGUGCGUCCAGGCGUCGAAGCUCCCUGCACUCACCUGGCGCUCGCCCCUGACCUCCCAUGGCUGUCUGCCCCAGCUCGGCUUGGCCCUCUGUUCGGCGUGUUUGCCCCUGCAGAGUCGGCCCAGCCUCCAUUUUUCCCCAGCCCGGAUCUCCCUGCUCGCCUUGCUCCUCCGGCGCCGCGGUUUUCUGCUCGCUUGGCCGGCCAUGGUGGCUGUGCAUGCCUCCUGGCCAUGGACGGUUUUGGCCCAGGCCACCGUCGCGCCCAGAGAAAUGGUGCGCGUCCCUGCGCCCGGUUUUCGUUUCUGUGGCGCCGAUCUGUGCUCCGUCCUGGCCGUCUUUUCUGCCUCCAAUCUUGGCGCCGUCGCGAAGCUCUUUGUUCGUCGUCAUCGCUCGGUCGCACAACAGGCUGAUUGCGUGACGUGUGUCGCACAUCCUAGGUCCUUGUCGUCGGGUUUCGUGCGUGCUCGCGUUUACCGUCGAGUCGUCGAACCCGUCAUCCUCUGCUCAAACUCCACCUCACCAGCUCGCUUCAAACACGAUCUCGUCGUCAAGCUUCGCCUUAGCCUUAUCUCGUCGGUCACGCUCGCCAGAUGUUCGAUCAAGGACUUCAGCCGAAGGAUGUCAUCGUUCAGGCAACUACCAAAUCGAGUUGUGAUGUGGUGAGCUGAUUCGCUAUUUUUACUAUCGGUUUUAUGAUCGUAAAAUAAGACGCUACGUAUGCGCAUACGAUUAAGUUAGAAAUACCAGUAAGGCGAGGUGUGCUUCGAGGAGUUUAGUUGCUGAAUAUAUUCGAACUAGUUCUAUUUUGUAUAAUAUAGUAUUUCG
Molecule: long non-coding RNA, 7635 nt
Filed under: Zea mays
Lineage: Eukaryota; Viridiplantae; Streptophyta; Magnoliopsida; Poales; Poaceae
Description: long non-coding RNA (ZMAY_LNC000540)
Source: RNAcentral